Molecule: ribosomal RNA, 471 nt
Filed under: Trametes polyzona
Lineage: Eukaryota; Fungi; Basidiomycota; Agaricomycetes; Polyporales; Polyporaceae
Description: SSU rRNA
Rfam family: Bacterial small subunit ribosomal RNA
Source: RNAcentral
AUGUCGUAAGGGAAAAUAAUGAUAAUACCUUACUAAUAGUGUCGUCCAAAUCUGGUGCCAGAAGACUCGGUAAGACCAGAGACGCAAACGUUAAUCAUCAUAAACAGGCGUAAAGGGUUUGUAGGCGGUUUCCAUAAGACUAUGAUUACAAAAUAAAGUAGUCUAAUUGGAAGCUAGAAUCAAAAAGAGGUUAUAGUGUAUAACGCUUAGAGGAGGGCUGAUAUCCUUAGAUCCUAAGCAGAAUACUCAGGGCGAAGGCCACUUUCCAUUAAUGAUUGACGCUGAGAAACGAAGGUUAGGGUAGGAAAUAGGAUUAGAUACCCCGGUACUCCUUUCUGUAAACGAUGAAUGGUAGUCAUUAGUUUAAUAAAACUAGAGGCGAAGUUAACACGAUAACCAUUCCGCCUUGUGAGUACUACUGCAAAGUAGAAAACAAAAAAAUUAGUCGGUCUCGAAGCAAACGGAGUGAAG